Molecule: long non-coding RNA, 561 nt
Organism: Actinia tenebrosa (Australian red waratah sea anemone)
Lineage: Eukaryota; Metazoa; Cnidaria; Anthozoa; Actiniaria; Actiniidae
Source: RefSeq, a predicted model, not a curated record
GUAUAAUUUACCUUUUCAUCAUUACUGUUUCAUUAGAAACACCGACGCAGCUCACACUAGUUUUUAGCUAGUUAUAUCUUUUUAUUCUAUGAAUACGUCCUUUAUUAAAAGUCAAUUCCCCCUAAAUUCCCAUGAUCUCUUAGGCCCCAUUGACAUGAAAGUAGGUUGACCCUAGUGCCAGGAACAAGUCUUUUGGUUUCUUUCUCCAGGGGAUAUCCAAACCAAGAGGUAGUCCUAGCAGUAGGGUCACCCUACCUUAUGAGAGACCAUUCACAUGAAGCUAGGAUGACCCUGGUGCUAGGGAUAACUAUUUUGUUUGUUUUCCACAGGAGACACCAAAAACAAGAGGUAGUCCUAGCAGUAGGGUCACUCUACCUUAUGUAACAUGUUAGGCUCCUCAUCGACCAUGUUGUCUGAUGAAAAGGCAAACAAGCAAAAGGGCGGAUUGAGAGGCAUGAUCUAAAAUCAAAAUGGAAAAGCAGAAAAGACCUUUACUUACUGAAUAGUAAAUGCUUAUCUAUCAUAUAAAUACAUUGGAACCCUAUCCUAUUUUAAGCGUCA